UAAUGCCCUGGCCAUCAUCGUUUUCGA
RNAcentral lists this small RNA (27 nucleotides) under Bombyx mori (domestic silkworm). RNAcentral describes it as "ovarian small RNA-19760". The record is from RNAcentral. Lineage: Eukaryota; Metazoa; Arthropoda; Insecta; Lepidoptera; Bombycidae.